UACGGAGGGUGCGAGCGUUGUCCGGAAUCACUGGGCGUCAAGGGCGCGUAGGCGGCCUGAUAAGUAGGGGGUGAAAUCCCACGGCUCAACCGUGGAAGUGCAUCCGAAACUGCGAGGCUCGAGUAUGGAAGAGGGUCGCAGAAUUCCCGGUGUAGAGGUGAAAUUCGUAGAUAUCGGGAGGAAUACCAGUGGCGAAGGCGGCGACCUGGGCCAAUACUGACGCUGAGGUGCGAAAGCGUGGGGAGCAAACAGG
RNAcentral lists this ribosomal RNA (253 nucleotides) under uncultured bacterium. Its description in RNAcentral is "partial 16S ribosomal RNA". It matches the Rfam family "Bacterial small subunit ribosomal RNA", at positions 524 to 776 of the family's 1533-position model. The record is from RNAcentral.